RNAcentral lists this ribosomal RNA (566 nucleotides) under Citrobacter braakii. RNAcentral's name for it is "partial 23S ribosomal RNA". It matches the Rfam family "Bacterial large subunit ribosomal RNA", at positions 1140 to 1705 of the family's 2925-position model. The record is from RNAcentral. Lineage: Bacteria; Pseudomonadati; Pseudomonadota; Gammaproteobacteria; Enterobacterales; Enterobacteriaceae.
GCUCACUGGUCGAGUCGGCCUGCGCGGAAGAUGUAACGGGGCUAAACCAUGCACCGAAGCUGCGGCAGCGACACUAUGUGUUGUUGGGUAGGGGAGCGUUCUGUAAGCCGUUGAAGGUGUGCUGUGAGGCAUGCUGGAGGUAUCAGAAGUGCGAAUGCUGACAUAAGUAACGAUAAUGCGGGUGAAAAACCCGCACGCCGGAAGACCAAGGGUUCCUGUCCAACGUUAAUCGGGGCAGGGUGAGUCGACCCCUAAGGCGAGGCCGAAAGGCGUAGUCGAUGGGAAACAGGUUAAUAUUCCUGUACUUGGUGUUACUGCGAAGGGGGGACGGAGAAGGCUAUGUUAGCCGGGCGACGGUUGUCCCGGUUUAAGCAUGUAGGCGGAGAUUCCAGGUAAAUCCGGAGUCUUGCUAACGCUGAGGUGUGAUGACGAGGCACUACGGUGCUUAAGUAACAAAUGCCCUGCUUCCAGGAAAAGCCUCUAAGCAUCAGGUAACACGAAAUCGUACCCCAAACCGACACAGGUGGUCAGGUAGAGAAUACCAAGGCGCUUGAGAGAACUCGGGU